AUCGACCCCGCGGUUUGGUACCUCGAUGUCGGCUCUUCCCAUCCUGGUUCUGCAGCAGGAGCCAAGGGUGGGGCUGCUCGCCCAUUAAAGGGGAACGUGAGCUGGGUUUAGACCGUCGUGAGACAGGUCGGUCUCUGCCUGACAGGGGUGUAGUUGUUUGAGGGGAAGUUGCCCAUAGUACGAGAGGAACAGGGCAGCGCAGCCUCUGGUUUAUCAGUUGUCCGACAGGGCAGGCUGAGCCGCUAAGCUGUUUAGGAUAACUCCUGAAAGCAUCUAAGGAGGAAACCUUUCCCGAGAAAAGACAGCCUUCUUUACAGAGAAGGGCAGCUAUAGAAGAUAGCAUUGAUAGAAUGGAGGUGUAAGCAUCGAGCUUUUUGCGAGAUGUUCAGCCUGCCGUUACUAAUAGCCC
This 409-nucleotide ribosomal RNA is filed under the name bacterium. RNAcentral's name for it is "partial 23S ribosomal RNA". It matches the Rfam family "Archaeal large subunit ribosomal RNA", at positions 2573 to 2973 of the family's 2987-position model. The record is from RNAcentral.